Molecule: ribosomal RNA, 429 nt
Filed under: Actinomycetes bacterium
Lineage: Bacteria; Bacillati; Actinomycetota; Actinomycetes
Description: Actinobacteria bacterium partial 16S ribosomal RNA
Rfam family: Bacterial small subunit ribosomal RNA
Source: RNAcentral
UAGGGAAUCUUCCGCAAUGGGCGAAAGCUUGACGGAGCAACGCCGCGUGAGUGAUGAAGGUCUUCGGAUCGUAAAACUCUGUUAUUAGGGAAGAACAAAUGUGUAAGUAACUAUGCACGUCUUGACGGUACCUAAUCAGAAAGCCACGGCUAACUACGUGCCAGCAGUCGCGGUAAUACGUAGGUGGCAAGCGUUAUCCGGAAUUAUUGGGCGUAAAGCGCGCGUAGGCGGUUUUUUAAGUCUGAUGUGAAAGCCCACGGCUCAAACGUGGAGGGUCAUUGGAAACUGGAAAACUUGAGUGCAGAAGAGGAAAGUGGAAUUCCAUGUGUAGCGGUGAAAUGCGCAGAGAUAUGGAGGAACACCAGUGGCGAAGGCGACUUUCUGGUCUGUAACUAACGCUGAUGUGCGAAAGCGUGGGGAUCAAACAGG